RNAcentral lists this transfer RNA (72 nucleotides) under Parcubacteria group bacterium. RNAcentral's name for it is "tRNA-Glu". It matches the Rfam family "tRNA". Rfam says of the family: Transfer RNA (tRNA) molecules are approximately 80 nucleotides in length. Their secondary structure includes four short double-helical elements and three loops (D, anti-codon, and T loops). The record is from RNAcentral. RNAcentral also lists the same sequence under 2 other names.
GACCCUAUCGUCUAGUGGUUAGGACAUUAGGUUUUCAUCCUAAAAACCGGAGUUCGACUCUCCGUAGGGUCA